This is a long non-coding RNA of Pararge aegeria (speckled wood butterfly), 2347 nucleotides long. RefSeq lists it as uncharacterized. The transcript is spliced from 9 exons. Lineage: Eukaryota; Metazoa; Arthropoda; Insecta; Lepidoptera; Nymphalidae. The record is from RefSeq and is a predicted model, not a curated record.
UGAUGAAUAUUGUGUUGUAAAUUAAGUUAAGAAAAAGAAUCUUACGAUAUUUUAUAUACUUAAGAUUUAAGCUAGUGAUGAUUAUUUUUAGUAAAAUUAAUUUUAUAAGGAUUUUGUCACUCUUCUGGCGUUCAUCAGUCCAAAGUAGCAUGAUGAGUUAACAGACCUGUUCUGAAGUUAUUUGAGGACAAAAAAUAUAUAAUGUUAUUCUGAUUUUAAAUAGCCCAAGUUAGAGAAAUGGUUGUAGCCCAUAUAAUUGUGUGGAGAUUGUGUAAAUUAAUUUAAUUUUUACAGGUACUGACGAGACAUCUGGAAUUUCCUGUUGUGUGAUACCUGACAUUUGGGUAAGCACACAAAGAAAACUGAAAUACCUUGUUUAAGCUGAAAUUUAGGUUAACAAACACACAAAGAAAACUCUUGAAAACCCUGUUCAAGCCGAAAUUUAGGUUAGUAAACAAAGAAAACUUGAAUAACCAUGUUUGAGCUGAAAUUUAGGUACUUUUAACCUCGAAUCGCUGAUUGGACCAAAAAUUUAGGUGAGUAAAAAUUAUUCAUCACACUAUCUUCAAAUAAUUUUAUAUUGCAGGUUGAAAGUAGAUCAUAAUAAUUUCAAGUAAUAAGGUUGAUAUUAUACAACUUAUUAAAGUGUGCAUACACAAUUUAAAUCAUCAACAUAGCAAGUACAUGGUAGCAUGAUGAGUUAACAGACCUGUUCUGAAGUGAUUUGAGAACAAAAAAAAUAAUGUUAUUCUGAUUUUAAAUUGCCAAAGUUAGGGAAUUUUUUCUCGCCCAAAUCAUUGCGCGUGGCUAGCUAUCCUGUAAAAUAAAUUUUACUUUCACAGGUUCUUAAACACCUCUGGAAUUGCCAGUAUAACCAGACAUUUUAGUUAGUUUAGGGGAGUAAAAUUAUAAACUCCACUACAAAACACUGAAAAAUAUUAUUUUUAUUGUUUGGUUAAUGUUUGUCAUAAUUAGACUUCAGUAGUUGUAUAAUACUUCGAUAUUCAAUCAUCAAGAGUCCAAGGUAGCUUGAUGAGUUUACAGAUCUGUUCUGAAGUAAUUUGCGGACAAAAAUAAACAUUAGAAUCACAUAAUCUUCAAAUAAUAUAUAACCUUAGGGUUAAAAUAGUAUGACAUUACUAUGUAUAUUAAAGUCACAAAUAUAAGUAAAUAAUGUUGGUAAUAAUCCUGAUGUUCAAUCUACAGGAUACAAGGUCAAGGUAGCAUGAUGAGUUAACAGACCUGUUCUGAAAUGAUUUGAGGACAAAGAAAACAUAAUGUUAUUCUGAUUUAAAAAAAAAAACAGAAAUUAGUACUCAAACCUCAGUCUGGCUGGGCUAUUCUUAAAAAAUAAUUUUAUAUUUACAGACACUUGAAAACCUCUGGAAUAGACUAUUAAACCUGGCAUUUAUGCACAUGAAAACCUCUGGAAUAGUCGGUUCAACGUGACAUUAAGAUGUACCAGUUUCAGUGGCUAGAUUGAUGAAAACUACAGCAACUUACGUUUUAGCAACUCGGCAACUCAUAGCAGCUCAAUAAAACUAGCUACUAGUGAGGGUAUCAGAGUAUCAGAUUUUGCGAAUUCUACAUGACCAUCUGGGUAUAACAAAAGUCAGUGCAAGAUGGGUACCGAGAAUGCUCACGCCGCUUCAGAAACAGCAACGCGUCGAUGCUUCAAAACAAUUUUUGAGACGAGCCUGCACAGAUUUUGGGGCGAAUUGUUACCGGAGAUGAAACAUGGGUUCAUCACUUUGAGCCUGAGUCCAAACUAGAGUCCAUGCAAUGGCACAAAAAGGGGACACCACCGCCAAAGAAGUUCAAAGUGUCGGAGUCGGCUGGAAUGUUGAUGGCAACUGUUUUUUGGGAUUGUGAAGGGAUACUACUACGGAUACAGGAGAAUACUACGCAACGAUUCAUAAACAGAAAAAUUAAAGGAUAGUCCAUCAAGGAAAACUGACCAAAGGUGUGUUGCUUUUGCAAGACAAUGCACCGGUUCACAAAAGCAGAGUUGCAAUGGCUGCUCUGCACACACAUGGCUUCGAAUCGCUAGUCCACCCACCCUACAAUCCAAAUCUGGCCCCAAGUAAUUUUUCUUUGUGCCCUAAUUUAAAAAAAGACCUAAGGGGAAGGAAAUUUUCCGACGACAAUGAAGUAAAGGAGGCAAUUUUGGCUCAUUUUGCGUUAAAAGAUAAAAAAUAUUUUUACGACGGUUUAGAAAAAUUAAUUCAUAGAUCUAAUAAAUGUAUUCAACUUCAGGGUGAUUAUAUUGUUUCAAUUUAUUUCAAACCCUUCUAUUCACGAACUUUUGGACCUCGCCUCGUGUCUCAAAAUAAAUGAAUUAAACAAA